GAAGUGAGAAUGCCGGUGUGAGUAGCGAAAGACGGGUGAGAAUCCCGUCCACCGAUUGACUAAGGUUUCCAGAGGAAGGCUCGUCCGCUCUGGGUUAGUCGGGUCCUAAGCUGAGGCCGACAGGCGUAGGCGAUGGAUAACAGGUUGAUAUUCCUGUACCACCUAUAAUCGUUUUAAUCGAUGGGGGGACGCAGUAGGAUAGGCGAAGCGUGCGAUUGGAUUGCACGUCUAAGCAGUAAGGCUGAGUAUUAGGCAAAUCCGGUACUCGUUAAGGCUGAGCUGUGAUGGGGAGAAGACAUUGUGUCUUCGAGUCGUUGAUUUCACACUGCCGAGAAAAGCCUCUAGAUAGAAAAUAGGUGCCCGUACCGCAAACCGACACAGGUAGUCAAGAUGAGAAUUCUAAGGUGAGCGAGCGAACUCUCGUUAAGGAACUCGGCAAAAUGACCCCGUAACUUCGGGAGAAGGGGUGCUCUUUAGGGUUAACGCCCAGAAGAGCCGCAGUGAAUAGGCCCAAGCGACUGUUUAUCAAAAACACAGGUCUCUGCUAAACCGUAAGGUGAUGUAUAGGGGCUGACGCCUGCCCGGUGCUGGAAGGUUAAGAGGA
This 604-nucleotide ribosomal RNA is filed under the name Staphylococcus aureus. RNAcentral describes it as "partial 23S ribosomal RNA". It matches the Rfam family "Bacterial large subunit ribosomal RNA", at positions 1285 to 1885 of the family's 2925-position model. The record is from RNAcentral. Lineage: Bacteria; Bacillati; Bacillota; Bacilli; Caryophanales; Staphylococcaceae.